AUUGAACGCUGGCGGCAUGCCUUACACAUGCAAGUCGAACGGCAGCACGGGUGCUUGCUCCUGGUGGCGAGUGGCGAACGGGUGAGUAAUACAUCGGAACAUGUCCUGUAGUGGGGGAUAGCCCGGCGAAAGCCGGAUUAAUACCGCAUACGAUCCACGGAUGAAAGCGGGGGACCUUCGGGCCUCGCGCUAUAGGGUUGGCCGAUGGCUGAUUAGCUAGUUGGUGGGGUAAAGGCCUACCAAGGCGACGAUCAGUAGCUGGUCUGAGAGGACGACCAGCCACACUGGGACUGAGACACGGCCCAGACUCCUACGGGAGGCAGCAGUGGGGAAUUUUGGACAAUGGGCGAAAGCCUGAUCCAGCAAUGCCGCGUGUGUGAAGAAGGCCUUCGGGUUGUAAAGCACUUUUGUCCGGAAAGAAAACCUUGACUCUAAUACAGUCGGGGGAUGACGGUACCGGAAGAAUAAGCACCGGCUAACUACGUG
RNAcentral lists this ribosomal RNA (486 nucleotides) under uncultured bacterium. Its description in RNAcentral is "partial 16S ribosomal RNA". It matches the Rfam family "Bacterial small subunit ribosomal RNA", at positions 30 to 507 of the family's 1533-position model. The record is from RNAcentral.